GACGAACGCUGGCGGCGUGCUUAACACAUGCAAGUCGAACGGAAAGGCCCUGCUUUUGUGGGGUACUCGAGUGGCGAACGGGUGUGUAACACGUGAGUAACCUGCUCUUGACUUUGGGAUAACUUCAGGUAACUGGGGCUAAUACCGGAUAGGAGCUCCUGCUGCACGGUGGGGGUUGGAAAGUUUCGGCGGUGGGGGAUGGACUCGCGGCUUAUCAGCUUGUUGGUGGGGUAGUGGCUUACCAAGGCUUUGACGGGUAGCCGGCCUGAGUGGUGGACCGGACACAUUGGGACUGAGAUACGGCCCAGACUCCUACGGGAGGCAGUAGUGGUGAAUAUGUCACAAUGAGCGGAAGCGUGAUGCAGCAACGCCGCGUGCGGGAUGACGGCCUGCUGGUUGUAAUCCGCUUUCGCCUGUGACGAAGCGAGAGUGACGGUAAUGGGUAAAGAAGCACCGGCUAACUACGUG
Molecule: ribosomal RNA, 468 nt
Filed under: uncultured bacterium
Lineage: Bacteria
Description: partial 16S ribosomal RNA
Rfam family: Bacterial small subunit ribosomal RNA
Source: RNAcentral